This 653-nucleotide ribosomal RNA is filed under the name uncultured Rhodoferax sp. RNAcentral's name for it is "bacterial SSU rRNA". It matches the Rfam family "Bacterial small subunit ribosomal RNA", at positions 35 to 680 of the family's 1533-position model. Lineage: Bacteria; Pseudomonadati; Pseudomonadota; Betaproteobacteria; Burkholderiales; Comamonadaceae. The record is from RNAcentral.
GCUGGCGGCAUGCCUUACACAUGCAAGUCGAACGGCAGCACGGGNAGCAAUCCUGGUGGCGAGUGGCGAACGGGUGAGUAAUAUAUCGGAACGUGCCCAGUCGUGGGGGAUAACGCAGCGAAAGCUGUGCUAAUACCGCAUACGAUCUCUGGAUGAAAGCGGGGGACCUGCAAGGGCCUCGCGCGAUUGGAGCGGCCGAUAUCAGAUUAGCUAGUUGGUGGGGUAAAAGCUCACCAAGGCGACGAUCUGUAGCUGGUCUGAGAGGACGACCAGCCACACUGGAACUGAGACACGGUCCAGACUCCUACGGGAGGCAGCAGUGGGGAAUUUUGGACAAUGGGCGCAAGCCUGAUCCAGCAAUGCCGCGUGCAGGAUGAAGGCCUUCGGGUUGUAAACUGCUUUUGUACGGAACGAAAAGGCUCUUUUUAAUAAAGAGGGCUCAUGACGGUACCGUAAGAAUAAGCACCGGCUAACUACGUGCCAGCAGCCGCGGUAAUACGUAGGGUGCGAGCGUUAAUCGGAAUUACUGGGCGUAAAGCGUGCGCAGGCGGUUUUGUAAGACAGAUGUGAAAUCCCCGGGCUCAACCUGGGACCUGCAUUUGUGACUGCAAGGCUAGAGUACGGUAGAGGGGGAUGGAAUUCCGCGUGUAGCA